GCAUACCCUAGAGCCCCAUUCAUUCUAUUUUAAUAAAUAAAAUUACUUCCAAAUCCUAACAAAAUAAAAUUUACAAAUUCAAAAUUAUAAAUGUAACCCAUAACUUCUUUUAUAAAACUGCACCUUGAUUUGAUCUAAAGUAAAAUUUUACCUAUAGAAAAUUACAAUUCUUUCGAAAUGUUCAUUUCAACAACGAUAUACAAGCAACAUAAAAGUAAAAUAAAUCGUGGAUUAUCAAUUACAGGACAGGUUCCUCUGGCAGGUUUGGGUACCGCCAAGACAUUUAAUUUUCAAGCUCUUAACUAAUACUAACUCGGCUAUAAUUAUACAAUGUUAAUAACAGGGUAUCUAAUCCUGGUUUAAAAAAACAUUUUCCUAGAUCAUUUAUUUUUGAAUCCUUAAUUCAAUAUUAAAAUUUCACCUCUCAAUACAAAUUUUAUAAAUAUUAUAAUUAAUUAACUAAAACCACAAAAAUUAAGUAGCACCUUUUGUAUAACCGCA
Molecule: ribosomal RNA, 501 nt
Filed under: Cryptocephalus quadriguttatus
Lineage: Eukaryota; Metazoa; Arthropoda; Insecta; Coleoptera; Chrysomelidae
Description: partial 12S ribosomal RNA
Source: RNAcentral